UACAGAGGUCCCAAGCGUUGUUCGGAUUCACUGGGCGUAAAGGGUGCGUAGGUGGCGGGGUAAGUUUGAUGUGAAAUCUCCGAGCUUAACUCGGAAACUGCAUUGAAUACUAUCCUGCUCGAGGGUUGGAGGGGGGACUGGAAUUCUCGGUGUAGCAGUGAAAUGCGUAGAUAUCGAGAGGAACACCAGUGGCGAAGGCGAGUCCCUGGACAACACCUGACACUGAGGCACGAAAGCUAGGGGAGCAAACAGG
This 253-nucleotide ribosomal RNA is filed under the name uncultured bacterium. Its description in RNAcentral is "partial 16S ribosomal RNA". It matches the Rfam family "Bacterial small subunit ribosomal RNA", at positions 524 to 776 of the family's 1533-position model. The record is from RNAcentral.